UUAUACCCUUUGAUGAGGAUUGAGGACUC
RNAcentral lists this non-coding RNA (29 nucleotides) under Rattus norvegicus (Norway rat). Lineage: Eukaryota; Metazoa; Chordata; Mammalia; Rodentia; Muridae. The record is from RNAcentral.